RNAcentral lists this ribosomal RNA (805 nucleotides) under Halomonas sp. KHS3. Its description in RNAcentral is "bacterial SSU rRNA". It matches the Rfam family "Bacterial small subunit ribosomal RNA", at positions 107 to 911 of the family's 1533-position model. The record is from RNAcentral. Lineage: Bacteria; Pseudomonadati; Pseudomonadota; Gammaproteobacteria; Oceanospirillales; Halomonadaceae.
UGAGUAAUGCAUAGGAAUCUGCCCGUAGAGUGGAGGGAUAACCGUGGGGAAACCCAGGCUAAUACCGCAUACGUCCUACGGAAGAAAGGGGGCUUCGGCUCCCGCUAUUGGAUGAGCCUAUGUCGGAUUAGCUAGUUGGUAAGGUAAUGGCUUACCAAGGCAACGAUCCGUAGCUGGUCUGAGAGGAUGAUCAGCCACAUCGGGACUGAGACACGGCCCGAACUCCUACGGGAGGCAGCAGUGGGGAAUAUUGGACAAUGGGGGCAACCCUGAUCCAGCCAUGCCGCGUGUGUGAAGAAGGCCCUCGGGUUGUAAAGCACUUUCAGCGAGGAAGAACGCCUAUCGGUUAAUACCCGGUAGGAAAGACAUCACUCGCAGAAGAAGCACCGGCUAACUCCGUGCCAGCAGCCGCGGUAAUACGGAGGGUGCAAGCGUUAAUCGGAAUUACUGGGCGUAAAGCGCGCGUAGGUGGCUUGAUAAGCCGGUUGUGAAAGCCCCGGGCUCAACCUGGGAACGGCAUCCGGAACUGUCAGGCUAGAGUGCAGGAGAGGAAGGUAGAAUUCCCGGUGUAGCGGUGAAAUGCGUAGAGAUCGGGAGGAAUACCAGUGGCGAAGGCGGCCUUCUGGACUGACACUGACACUGAUGUGCGAAAGCGUGGGUAGCAAACAAGAUUAGAUACCCUGGUAGUCCACGCCGUAAACGAUGUCGACCAGCCGUUGGGUGCCUAGAGCACUUUGUGGCGAAGUUAACGCGAUAAGUCGACCGCCUGGGGAGUACGGCCGCCAGGUUAAAACUCAAAUGAAUU